Molecule: ribosomal RNA, 430 nt
Filed under: Bacillota bacterium
Lineage: Bacteria; Bacillati; Bacillota
Description: Firmicutes bacterium partial 16S ribosomal RNA
Rfam family: Bacterial small subunit ribosomal RNA
Source: RNAcentral
UGGGGAAUAUUGGACAAUGGGCGAAAGCCUGAUCCAGCCAUGCCGCGUGUGUGAAGAAGGCCUUUUGGUUGUAAAGCACUUUAAGCGAGGAGGAGGCUACCGAGAUUAAUACUCUUGGAUAGUGGACGUUACUCGCAGAAUAAGCACCGGCUAACUCUGUGCCAGCAGCCGCGGUAAUACAGAGGGUGCGAGCGUUAAUCGGAUUUACUGGGCGUAAAGCGUGCGUAGGCGGCUUUUUAAGUCGGAUGUGAAAUCCCUGAGCUUAACUUAGGAAUUGCAUUCGAUACUGGGAAGCUAGAGUAUGGGAGAGGAUGGUAGGAUUCCAGGUGUAACGGUGAAAUGCGUAGAGAUCUGGGGGAAUACCGAUGGCGAAGGCAGCCAUCUGGCCUAAUACUGACGCUGAGGUACGAAAGCAUGGGGAGCAAACAGG